This 253-nucleotide ribosomal RNA is filed under the name uncultured bacterium. RNAcentral describes it as "partial 16S ribosomal RNA". It matches the Rfam family "Bacterial small subunit ribosomal RNA", at positions 524 to 776 of the family's 1533-position model. The record is from RNAcentral.
UACGUAGGGUGCAAGCGUUAUUCGGAAUUACUGGGCGUAAAGCGUGCGCAGGCGGUGAUGUAAGACAGAUGUGAAAUCCCCGGGCUUAACCUGGGAACUGCAUUUGUGACUGCAACGCUGGAGUGCGGCAGAGGGGGAUGGAAUUCCGCGUGUAGCAGUGAAAUGCGUAGAUAUGCGGAGGAACACCGAUGGCGAAGGCAAUCCCCUGGGCCUGCACUGACGCUCAUGCACGAAAGCGUGGGGAGCAAACAGG